GGGAGGCAGCAGUGGGGAAUCUUCCGCAAUGGGCGAAAGCCUGACGGAGCAACGCCGCGUGAGUGAUGACGGCCUUCGGGUUGUAAAACUCUGUGAUCCGGGACGAAAAGGCAGAGUGCGAAGAACAAACUGCAUUGACGGUACCGGAAAAGCAAGCCACGGCUAACUACGUGCCAGCAGCCGCGGUAAUACGUAGGUGGCAAGCGUUGUCCGGAAUUAUUGGGCGUAAAGCGCGCGCAGGCGGCUUCCCAAGUCCCUCUUAAAAGUGCGGGGCUUAACCCCGUGAUGGGAAGGAAACUGGGAAGCUGGAGUAUCGGAGAGGAAAGUGGAAUUCCUAGUGUAGCGGUGAAAUGCGUAGAGAUUAGGAAGAACACCGGUGGCGAAGGCGACUUUCUGGACGAAAACUGACGCUGAGGCGCGAAAGCGUGGGGAGCAAACAGGAUUAGAUACCCUGGUAGUCCACGCCGUAAACGAUGGAUACUAGGUGUAGGAGGUAUCGACCCCUCCUGUGCCGGAGUUAACGCAAUAAGUAUCCCGCCUGGGGA
This 545-nucleotide ribosomal RNA is filed under the name uncultured bacterium. Its description in RNAcentral is "bacterial SSU rRNA". It matches the Rfam family "Bacterial small subunit ribosomal RNA", at positions 343 to 879 of the family's 1533-position model. The record is from RNAcentral.